ACAACUCUAAAUGCGUCAUUGUGUUGCGAUUGCAUCCAACAUGAUCAUCUAUAAGACACUAGUGGGCGCCUUGUGGUAAGCAUGCGGCGCAAAAAGGGAUGAACCUAGCAGUGGGGUAAGGUGCCUAAAGGAAAACAAAGAGAAAAAGCGUUUGGCAGAUUAGGACAGUGGGGCGGUGGCCAUGGAGGUCGGCAUCCGCUAAGAAACGUGUUACAACGUACCCACCGAAUCUGCGAAUGCUGAAAAUGGAUGGCGCUUAUUUCCAUACCGAGCCCCACAUGGUACAGCCACGUAGGCCGGCACGUGUGCAUCUGAGAAGACCCGCCGUGAGGUGUGUUGGAGAUGUUCACGGAGCAGAUCUUGGAAGUAGUAGCAUCAUUUGUAUGUGCCAAUGGAGGCGGGUUUGUCCUUUUAAUAGAAGGAAGUGAUACGAGCCUAGUAAAAGGGAAUAUAGUAGAUAUUCUAUAUAGAUGUACCUAUGUGGCGACACGACAGCGACCCCAACGACGUGUGCCGGUGAGAAUUUUCCGGGACACCCAGAUCUUAUGAGCGUCACGCUGAGACUAAGAACGAGUUGGGCGGUGAAAAUGAAGGAACAUCCUCGUACCGAACCGCAACAGGACUCCUAGGUGAGAAGCCUAAGGCAUAAUUGUAAUGUGAGCAAGGGAAAUCGGCAAAAUGGAUGAAAAACCUCGGGAUAAUCAUUGGCUCUAGCAUGCUAGAACUGGGCUUACAAGGGGAAUCUGACUGUUUAAUAAAAACAUAGCUUUGUGUGUACGCAAAGUGAAUUCUGCCCAGUGCUUGGGACGUUAAGGAAGUAAUUUUAAGUACGCACCUGUAAACGGCGGGAGUAACUAUGACUCUCUUAAGGUAGCCAAAUGCCUCGUCGCCUAAUUAGCGACGCGCAUGAAUGGAGCAACGAGAUUCCCACUGUCCCUGCUCACAGAUUUGCGAACCUACAGCCAAUGGAACGGCCUUGGGACAUGCCAGCGGGGAAAAAAGACCCUGGUUGAGCUUGACUCUAGCCAACCACAGGCCUCUGUGACUAUAUUCGUACCGAGGUGGGAAAAAAUGUGUGGAAACACUGACUUAGUCGGCGGGGGGCACUCCCAAAACCUUGGUUGGGGAAUUUGGCUGGGGGCCGGCAUAACUACUAAAAAAAUAACGGUAAACAUUCCAAAGGGUAAACUUCCCAAGGGGGAAGGAAAACCCCUUCCCAAGAGUAAAAAGGGC
RNAcentral lists this non-coding RNA (1233 nucleotides) under Enterocytozoon bieneusi H348. RNAcentral's name for it is "Eukaryotic large subunit ribosomal RNA". It matches the Rfam family "Eukaryotic large subunit ribosomal RNA", at positions 1059 to 2710 of the family's 3401-position model. Lineage: Eukaryota; Fungi; Microsporidia; Enterocytozoonidae. The record is from Rfam by way of RNAcentral.